This is a long non-coding RNA of Lycium barbarum (goji berry), 3239 nucleotides long. RefSeq lists it as uncharacterized. The record is from RefSeq and is a predicted model, not a curated record. Lineage: Eukaryota; Viridiplantae; Streptophyta; Magnoliopsida; Solanales; Solanaceae. The transcript is spliced from 3 exons.
CUAAAUCGCACCGUUUCGAAAAUUGACGGUCGGUCUUCCCCUUCUUCAUCAAUUACCAUUAACCAUACUUCUCCAAAAGAAUCUACAAUCAAAUUAUACCUUCACAAGCACAUCAACUGCUUAACAGAGGUCCGAUCACAAAAUGGACUAGAAGCAUUUUCAGUCAUUGGAGCAAAAGAUAAAUCAUUAUCAUCGUUAAUUGUGACAGGGUGUUGAUUUGUGCCGGAGGGUCACAAUAGAAGCAUCAAGUUCAAUUGAUGUUAGUGACGGUGGCUCUGCACCUAGGUUUGUCCAUCUUUUCGUUUACGUUAUUGCAUAAAAGUUUAUAUAUCUGUAAUUUUGAUUUUUUCCCUGAAUUGAUCAAGAUUUUUUUUUUGUUGAGUUGUAUAAGGGUCACAAAUCCGCAACAAUGUGUUGUAUCGCCUCCCAUAAAGCACUGAUGUUAUUGCCAGGGGACUGAGGUGCGCCUUUUUCCCCUUUGGGAUUUAAGAUGAUUUUGUAGAAAUGUGCUUACCGGACAUGCCUUAGCAAGUGUAUUUUAAUUGAAAUUUUAGCGUCCGUGUUUACGUAGUUGCUUCGGUGAUUAUCAAAUUUUCAACCUCAAAAUGCACCUUUUGGUUUCUGCUUUGAAAGUUCCUAUUUAAGAAAUAAUAUUUUGUUGUAGUUAGCCUCAGAAAUACUCUUCUAAUGAACCUGUAGAAACAAUCAAUUGUGAAAAGAGAAUAAGCUAGCCAAGGGAUAACACGAUCAAAUUUUGUCUCUGAUAAAGAUAAGCUACACCAACUUAAAACAGUAGGAUACUUUAAGAUGCACAUUUUGGUUUCUAUGUGUGAUAGAUAAAGCAGGGACAUAUGCCCAGUGAUGUGGCGGUGGCGCUCUAAAAUACUAAGAAACCUAUUUAUCUAUUUUUUUUUUAAAUUUCCUUUUAAGGGUUUCCGUCCCUUCUCCUCCUCACUAAACCAAACUAUCUUCACUUAAAAGGCAUCGUUUCUGGAGAGAAACAAACUAAACGUCUCUUUCAACAGGUAAUUUCAACACCUCCUAUCAAGUCUCUCAUCCGUUCCUUCCACUCCGUUUUCUCACUUACAAAACAAAAUAUUUCUCUUUGAUCUCUUCUUCCUCACUAAAGUGAGAGCCAAAAUUUCUUCCUUGCUGUUAGUUAAUUGUACCAAACAAAUUUGCAUGUUUUGGUGAUUUUGUUGCCGCUUGGUGGGAGAUUUAAUUAUUCUUGUGAUCAGUAAAGAAAAAGUUUGAUGAAUACGGGCAAUGCCCUUCAUGAAUUUUCGUUUGUCUUUUACCUAAGUUCUUUGUGUGGAAUUAUCAGCGGCCACCUCAUCGAAUGCUUCGAGUGAAGCGCCAUCCCAAAACAAAAAGUACCCAAGAGACCUACGAAAAGUGUAGGUCUUUCUCCAUGAUCAGGUCUGCUAUGUGAUUCGGCUUCAUUUUUCCCUCUUCUUAAUUGUCCCUGAUUGGGUUAUGACGACAAGUUUGAAACUUUAUGUGUUAGAAGGUAAGAUUUGAGAUCAACUGGUCUAUUUCCUAUUUAUUUAACGUGAACAUUCUAUUUUCAUUCAGCUAUGGAGAUUUUUAGUUUUUGUUCCAGAUCUUUUGAAGAUCUACAAGAGCCGUUUUCCGAUUUGAGAUAUGAAAUUUUGUACUCUGGAUUUGGUGAAGAAAAUUAUCAUUUGGGUAGAAUUUUGUUGGGUCAAUUAUCAAAAAUGCCGCUCAAUUUUAUUCAAAUUCAAGAAAUGUUCUUGCAGAAAAGUUUGCUUUGAUCCGAGAAAUCCUCGAUGAAUAUCCUUACAUUGAUAUGGAAAUAGAUUUGUUAACUCCUCCUUAAUGACUAAUCACACUCUAUCUUCACGUGACUCCAAGUCUAAUCGUCCCUUCCAAGACAUCCCCUCUAACUUCCCUAUUUCCAAAGAAAGAAAGAAAAGGUCGUAAGCUCUCUUUAAAGCCAUCAAUUCUCCAACUCUAAAAUUCAGUUAGAUUUUUUUUUUUUUUGGUAUUAUUAGGAUGUUGUCAAGUUGUUGUUUCAUUUCUUGUAUUGUUGUUCUUGAUUUAGUUCGCAUUAUUUUUUAACUACAUGGCUUGACUAAAGUAUUGCUUCAUUAGGAACUUCUUUACCACAAAGAGAAGCUUCCUUAGAAUGGUGAUUGAUAUGGAAAACUCAGAUUGCAGAGAAUCUAGGAUCUGUGUACUUUUGGUUAAUUUUUGAGAUGAGAUACAAUGAAACUUUCUAGCUUAUGAGGAAUUAAUUAAAUAACGGGAUCUGUUGCAGGAUAUUCUCUUUUUGUUCUUUCCGUUGCCUUUCUAUUGACGACUCUAUUUAGUCUACAAAUAGAUUGGUGAAAAACUGAAAAUAUGGAACAGCAUCUUAUUAUAUUUCAUUAAGGUUGAUGCUACUUUUUUAUGUAUUCAAGCGUGACAAGAUGACAUUUUGUGAAGUAAAGUUUUUGUCAAUGUAAGUUGCUUCAUCAAUGAAAUAACAUGGUAGCUCUUUUAGUUUUACGGAAUUGGUGUUUAUUCAUUGAGAUGUGCAGCCCAUGUUGUAUCCAUCUGAUCCUCUAUUUGGUCAUUAUUACCAAGUUUUCGGUAUUUCGGUCUUACCGCUUGAACAAUGUCUUAUCAGUCAUCAGCAAUAUUAGUGAACUUUUUGACCAUGGAAGAGAAAUAAAUAAAACUUGGAAGUAUUGGAUUAUUUCAGCAAACUCUUAUUAGGUUCAACUGUACUUUGUUAUAAAUGUUUUUAAAAUAAUCGAUUAGAAUACGUUUGGAAACCAAAUGUUGAAGCAAAGAAGGGGGAAGAGUUUGAAGCCCAGGACAAAAGAACAUGGUAAGCUUCAAAUUGUUCUAACAAAGUUGUAGAAAAUGGAGUUAAUAAAAGGUCCAGUGAUUUGCUCGCCAAAUGAAAAAUACUCUGUUAAGAGACUUUGCUCACCGCCUAUGCUUUCUUUGGAUAUACUUGAAGCAUGUCAAAUCUACAUUUAGUUCAACAACUAUGUUUUUGUACUUAUUACUAAUUAAUAUGUUAUCUCUACAUGGAGAAAAAUACACUUAGUUAAAAGGUGGAGAUGAUGUCAUUGACUUCAGGCUCGAAAAAUUUUUGAUCUCCGUGAUCUUUAAUCUUUGUUAACGAAAAUAAUGUACACCAUGAAGUAAAAUAAUCAGUAAUUUUUUGUGCAUAUAAAAAUAUAGUGAGUAAUGCUUGACUAUUUCACGACAAAUUAUUCAAUAUU